RNAcentral lists this non-coding RNA (2422 nucleotides) under Dendropsophus manonegra. RNAcentral's name for it is "partial contains 12S ribosomal RNA, tRNA-Val, and 16S ribosomal RNA". The stretch from base 1 to 934 matches the Rfam family "Bacterial small subunit ribosomal RNA". Lineage: Eukaryota; Metazoa; Chordata; Amphibia; Anura; Hylidae. The record is from RNAcentral.
UGGUCCCAGCCUUGGGAUCAGUUACUACUUAAUAUACACAUGCAAGUCUCCACCCCCCUGUGAAAACGCCCUUAACCCCUCUAAGGGGCAAGGAGCUGGUAUCAGGCACAAAAAUUAGCCCAAGACACCUAGCUACGCCACACCCUCACGGGAAUUCAGCAGUGAUUAACAUUGAAUAUAAGCGCCAGCUUGAAUCAGUUAAAGUAGAAAGAGCCGGCUAAUCUGGUGCCAGCCGCCGCGGUUACACCAUGUGGCUCAAACUGACCCUUUUCGGCGUAAAGCGUGAUUAAAGUCAAUCUUUUACUGCAAUUAAACUAGAAUUAAGCCGUGACACGCUUGUUAUUAAGAAACCUCAUUAACGAAAGUCAUUGCACUCCUAACAACUUGAACUCACGACAGCUAGGAAACAAACUGGGAUUAGAUACCCCACUAUGCCUAGCCGUAAACUUUAAUUUACCCCCUCCCCCGCCCGGGAACUACGAGCAAAGCUUAAAACCCAAGGGACUUGACGGUACCCCAAAUCCACCUAGAGGAGCCUGUCCUAUAAUCGAUAACCCCCGUUUUACCUCACCCCUUCUUGUUUUCAGCCUGUAUACCUCCGUCGUCAGCUUACCACGUGAGCGCCAAUUAGUGAGCUUAAUGCCCCUACGCCAACACGUCAGGUCAAGGUGCAGCAUAUGAAGCGGAAAGAGAUGGGCUACACUGUCUACUUUAGACCACACGAAAGACUAUAUAUGAAACCUAGUCGGAAGGCGGAUUUAGAAGUAAAAGAAAAGUAGCGUGCUUCAUUUAACUUAGGCCCUGGGGUGUGUACACACCGCCCGUCACCCUCUUCGAAGAUUCGACGUAAGUUCUUGACACAAUUGAGCUUCCCAGAAGAGGCAAGUCGUAACAUGGUAAGUAUACCGGAAGGUGUGCUUGGAAACAAGAUGUAGCUUAAUUAAAGCAUCUCGCUUACACCGAGAAAAUAUUUGUGAAACCCUAAUCAUCUUGAGCUAAAAAUCUAGCCCUAUUCCCUUUUAUGAAGCCCCUAUCUCACCCUAUAUAAACUAAAACAUUUAUUUGAUUAGUAAAGGAGAUUGAAAAACUAAUUAGAGCUAUAACGACAGUACCGCAAGGAAAAGAUGAAAUAAAAAUGAAACAAAAUUAAAGCACUAAAAAGCAGCGCUACACUCUCGUACCUUUUGCAUCAUGGUUUAACUAGUUUAAUCAAGCAAAAAGCACUCCAGUUUGACUCCCCGAAACUAGACGAGCUACUUCGAGGCAGCUUAAUGAGCACACCCGUCUCUGUUGCAAAAGAGUGGGAAGACCCCCAAGUAGCGGUGACAGACCUAACGAGUCUAGUGAUAGCUGGUUUCUUAAGAAAAGGAUUUUAGUCCUGUCUAAAGCAUACUUAAUCUCUUUAAAUGCCCCCCCCCCGCUUUAGUUCCACUCAAAUGAGGUACAGCCCGUUUGAAAUAAGGAUACAACCUAUUCUAAAGGGUAAUUUAUUAAAUCAACCAAUAAACAAGUGGGCCUAAAAGCAGCCACCUUUAAAAUAGCGUCAAAGCUUAUUUAUUACCCCCCCCCCCCAAUUCCAUAAUAUCCACUGAACCCUUUACUCAUAUUAAGUUAUUCUAUAUUAUUAUAGAAGCCACUAUGUUAAAACUAGUAAUAAGAGGCAGUGCCUCUCUUAAAUGUAAGCAUAAGUCAGAAAGGACCCACCACUGAUAAUCAACGUCCUUGACUACAAAACAGCAACUUCUCUAGAAAACCCUGCUAUCACUGACGUUAACCUAACACUAGCACAUUUCAAGAAAGAUUAAAAGAAAAAGAAGGAACUCGGCAAACAUUAACCUCGCCUGUUUACCAAAAACAUCGCCUCUUGUAUAAUAUAAGAGGUCCAGCCUGCCCAGUGACCUAGUUCAACGGCCGCGGUAUCCUAACCGUGCGAAGGUAGCGUAAUCACUUGUUCUUUAAAUGAGGACUAGUAUGAAUGGCACCACGAGGGUUACACUGUCUCCUUUUUCCAAUCAAUAAAACUGAUCUUCCCGUGAAGAAGCGGGAAUUAUAAUAUUAGACGAGAAGACCCUAUGGAGCUUCAAACUAUAUAGCACUGACUUUUACACUUUACUCUUCAGAGUCCUAUACUUAUUCUGCUCUUUUUGACUAUUAGUUUUGGGUUGGGGUGACCGCGGAGCAAAGAUUAACCUCCAUGAUGAACAAAACCACUUUUGAACCAAAAGCCACAACUUUAAGCACCAAUAAACUGACAUAAAUUGACCCAUUUUUUGACCAACGAACCAAGUUACCCUAGGGAUAACAGCGCAAUCCACUUCAAGAGCCCCUAUCGACAAGUGGGUUUACGACCUCGAUGUUGGAUCAGGGUAUCCUAGUGGUGCAGCCGCUACUAAAGGUUCGUUUGUUCAACGAUUAAAACCCU